UACGUAGGGACCAAGCGUUGUUCGGAUUUACUGGGCGUAAAGGGCGCGUAGGCGGCGCUGUAAGUCACUUGUGAAAUCUCCGGGCUUAACUCGGAACGGUCAAGUGAUACUGCAGUGCUAGAGUGCAGAAAGGGCAAUCGGAAUUCUUGGUGUAGCGGUGAAAUGCGUAGAUAUCAGGAGGAACACCUGUGGUGUAGACAGCUUACUGGACCAUUUCUGACGCUGAGACACGAAAGCGUGGGUAGCAAACAGG
RNAcentral lists this ribosomal RNA (253 nucleotides) under uncultured bacterium. RNAcentral's name for it is "partial 16S ribosomal RNA". It matches the Rfam family "Bacterial small subunit ribosomal RNA", at positions 524 to 776 of the family's 1533-position model. The record is from RNAcentral.